AUAACGGUCCUAAGGUAGCGAAAUUCCUUGUCAGGUAAGUUCUGACCCGCACGAAUGGCGUAAUGAUUUGGGCACUGUCUCAACAGCCCGCCCGGCGAAAUUGUAGUACUGGUGAAGAUGCCAGUUACCCGCAACUAGACGGAAAGACCCCAUGGAGCUUUACUGCAGCUUAAUACUGAGAUUCGGUAAUUCAUGUACAGGAUAGGUGGGAGACUUAGAAGCAGAGUCGUUAGGCGCUGUGGAGUCACCCUUGGGAUACCACCCUUGGAUUGCUGGGUUUCUAACCUGCGGCCAUGAAUCUGGUCGGGGGACACUGUUAGGCGGGCAGUUUGACUGGGGCGGUCGCCUCCUAAAGUGUAGCGGAGGCGCUCAAAGCUUGGCUCAGCAUGGAUGGAAAUCAUGCAAUGAGUGUAAACGUAUAAGCCAAGUUGACUGCGAGACCGACGGGUCGAGCAGGUACGAAAGUAGGAGUUAGUGAUCCGGUGGUAUGUGAGUGGAAAUGCCAUCGCUCAACGGAUAAAAGCUACCCUGGGGAUAACAGGCUGAUCUCCCCCAAGCGUCCACAGCGACGGGGAGGUUUGGCACCUCGAUGUCGGCUCGUCGCAUCCUGGGGCUGUAUUCGGUCCCAAGGGUUUGGCUGUUCGCCAAUUAAAGCGGCACGCGAGCUGGGUUCAGAACGUCGUGAGACAGUUCGGUCCCUAUCUGUUGCGGGCGUAAGAGAUUUGAAGGGAGCUGUCCUUAGUACGAGAGGACCGGGAUGGACUGACCGCUGGUGCACCAGUUGUUCUGCCAAGAGCAUAGCUGGGUAGCUACGUCGGGACGAGAUAAACGCUGAAGGCAUCUAAGCGUGAAACUCCCCCUAAGAUAAGAUCUCUCAUCCUUUAUGGAGUAAGGCUCGUCGUAGACUAUGACGUUGAUAGGUCAGAGGUGGAAGCGCCGUAAGGUGUGUAGCUGACUGAUACUAAUAAGCCGAGGGCUUGACCU
This 984-nucleotide ribosomal RNA is filed under the name human gut metagenome. RNAcentral describes it as "bacterial LSU rRNA". It matches the Rfam family "Bacterial large subunit ribosomal RNA", at positions 1942 to 2925 of the family's 2925-position model. The record is from RNAcentral.